GACGAACGCUGGCGGCGUGCUUAACACAUGCAGGUCGAACGGAAAGGCCCUGCUUUUGUGGGGUGCUCGAGUGGCGAACGGGUGCGUAACACGUGAGUAACCUGCCCUUGACUUUGGGAUAACUUCAGGAAACUGGGGCUAAUACCGGAUAGGAGCUCCUGCUGCAUGGUGGGGGUUGGAAAGUUUCGGCGGUUGGGGAUGGACUCGCGGCUUAUCAGCUUGUUGGUGGGGUAGUGGCUUACCAAGGCUUUGACGGGUAGCCGGCCUGAGAGGGUGACCGGCCACAUUGGGACUGAGAUACGGCCCAGACUCCUACGGGAGGCAGCAGUGGGGAAUAUUGCACAAUGGGCGGAAGCCUGAUGCAGCAACGCCGCGUGCGGGAUGACGGCCUUCGGGUUGUAAACCGCUUUCGCCUGUGACGAAGCGUGAGUGACGGUAAUGGGUAAAGAAGCACCGGCUAACUACGUG
This 468-nucleotide ribosomal RNA is filed under the name uncultured bacterium. Its description in RNAcentral is "partial 16S ribosomal RNA". It matches the Rfam family "Bacterial small subunit ribosomal RNA", at positions 28 to 507 of the family's 1533-position model. The record is from RNAcentral.